Thalassophryne amazonica is the source of this 655-nucleotide long non-coding RNA. RefSeq lists it as uncharacterized. The transcript is spliced from 5 exons. The record is from RefSeq and is a predicted model, not a curated record. Lineage: Eukaryota; Metazoa; Chordata; Actinopteri; Batrachoidiformes; Batrachoididae.
GGAUGUUUUACGAUUUUACCUUUAUUCAUCACUGUUUUGAUCUGGUGGGUUUAGCUUGAGUUGAAUGACCAUACCAUGAUGCAUUAUGGUCACUGGCUCACUAGAUGGGUAACCAGGUUUGUCAUAGGUCAAUCUAAUGGCUGGUUUUGGUUCUCUCUUAGAUCUUCGGACAGCGGAGGACUUUUCACUCCCAUUUCUUGUACUUUUAACUGAUCUUUCACUUCUGACUUGGGUUGAAAAGGGUGAGCUUGCUCUCCCUUCUAAAACCUGAUCUUCUACCGAAUCAUAAUUUGUCUCUUGGGCAUCAGAAUCCAUCACAGCAGAUGUAUCAUCUAUGAAAGAUCCUUCACUCUCUGAUUCUAUAACUGGUUGAAUUUCCUCCUCUCCAGAGCCUUCACUGUCUUCUCCAGAGCUUUCCUCCUCUUCAGAACUUCCACGGUUCUCAGUCUCUUGUGACUCUUGCUUUGGUGAUGCGUUUUGUUUCCUGACCUCAUCCACAACAAAACCUUGAGGAUUCUGGACAGUAUCAAAUUCUGUAUCUGUUGACACAGUGUCACUUUCUUCAACUGGAUCAGUAAGCUUAGUUCUUGGACAUGGCCGGGGAUGUUGUGAUCUGGUGACAGGUCUCUGAGUCGUUCCUGCAACAUCUGGGGGG